RNAcentral lists this ribosomal RNA (774 nucleotides) under uncultured bacterium. Its description in RNAcentral is "bacterial SSU rRNA". It matches the Rfam family "Bacterial small subunit ribosomal RNA", at positions 8 to 796 of the family's 1533-position model. The record is from RNAcentral.
AGAGUUUGAUCAUGGCUCAGGACGAACGCUGGCGGCGUGCCUAACACAUGCAAGUCGCACGGAACCCGCAAGUCAGUGGCGGACGGGUGCGUAACACGUGAGGAACAUGCCUAUCGGCGGGGGAUAGCCGGCCCAACGGCCGGGUAAUACCGCGUACGCUCACUGGGGGGCAUCCCUUGGUGAGGAAAGCAGCAAUGCACCGAUAGAGUGCCUCGCGGCCUAUCAGCUAGUUGGUGAGGUAAUGGCUCACCAAGGCAACGACGGGUAGCUGGUCUGAGAGGAUGAUCAGCCACAUUGGGACUGAGACACGGCCCAGACUCCUACGGGAGGCAGCAGUGGGGAAUCUUGCGCAAUGGCCGAAAGGCUGACGCAGCGACGCCGCGUGUGGGAUGACGGCCUUCGGGUUGUAAACCACUGUCGGAAGGGACGAAUGGCCCGCAAGGGCAGUGACGGUACCUUCAAAGGAAGCACCGGCUAACUCCGUGCCAGCAGCCGCGGUAAUACGGAGGGUGCGAGCGUUGUCCGGAAUCACUGGGCGUAAAGGGCGCGUAGGCGGCCCGGUAAGUAGGGGGUGAAAUCUUGCGGCUUAACCGCAAGGCUGCCUUCUAGACUGCCAGGCUCGAGCACAGUAGAGGCAGGUGGAAUUCCCGGUGUAGCGGUGGAAUGCGUAGAGAUCGGGAAGAACAUCAGUGGCGAAGGCGGCCUGCUGGACUGUAGCUGACGCUGAGGCGCGACAGCGUGGGGAGCAAACAGGAUUAGAUACCCUAGUAGUCC